This is a non-coding RNA of Cucurbita pepo subsp. pepo (vegetable marrow), 615 nucleotides long. The record is from RefSeq and is a predicted model, not a curated record. NCBI's taxonomy places the organism in Eukaryota, Viridiplantae, Streptophyta, Magnoliopsida, Cucurbitales, Cucurbitaceae.
CACCACUUUAUUAAACUCAUCAUCAAGUCUCCUGAAGAACUCCACCUGAUGUUCAUCGCUUUGCUCCGACGAUGAAGCGAACAGCAUGCUCUGCCCGCUGAAAGCUCUGUACAGAGAGACCCUUCUCUUCAAGUUGCGCGUUGUCCCAUCGGAUGCCUCUGGCUGUCUCGCCCGGCUGACUUCUUUCAACACUGUUUUCAGAUGGCUGUAAUCCAGGUGGGAAGAUUUGGAUUUGACAUGAGGAUGUCCUACGUGAUUACUGCGCAAACAUCUUGACCUGCAUUAAUUUGGCAGCGUCAACCACGACACUGCUGUUGUUUAAAGAAAAGUUUUUCAUUAAUUCCUUGCCUGUUCUUUGAUCAAAUAAUAUCAAAAUUUGCUGUCCACCAAAAACUGGGAAGAGAUCCAACUGAAAAAUCAACCACAAUGGGCCACUGCUUUAAAUUCUCCACAACCGGAUGAUCAGGACUUCACUAUUACAUUGGAGAAUUUUCUUACUUAAAAGAUAUUUUUAAGUAAGUUGCGUGUUUGAGAGUGAGUAUGAAAAUUAAGUUCAUAAGUGUGAAAUUAAAUAUUAAAAUUGUAGUAAUUUUAUUUUUUGUUUUUUCUUACCUA